Bombus impatiens (common eastern bumble bee) is the source of this 3095-nucleotide long non-coding RNA. RefSeq lists it as uncharacterized. Lineage: Eukaryota; Metazoa; Arthropoda; Insecta; Hymenoptera; Apidae. The record is from RefSeq and is a predicted model, not a curated record. The transcript is spliced from 2 exons.
CAUUAUUAUUUCAGAAACGAGUAAUGAAUCACUAUUGUCAAGUGACUAACGUCGACCUCUGAAUAACAUUGAAUUCCCCGAAUUGAGUUGAUUCUCGUGAACAACAUCGGCUGACCGUAUCGCUAUAUACCGCGUAGCGACACUGUCCCUCGAAAUCCGACUAAUUUCCGAAGUAACACGUUACACCCUCGAAAUAUCGCGCGCGUUGCACCGUGACGUGUCACCUUGAGACACAGAGAGACCGACUAGUAGAGUGUAGUUGACUCGGAGAAGAGCGCGCACGGUGUUGAACGUGCCGCGAAGAAGAAACACAUAAAAGAAAAGGAGGAAACGGUGCAGAAGAAGCGGCCGAGAGGAGGUGGUGGUGUUAUACACAGGAGGAGAAGGAGAAGGAGGAGGAAGAGGGAAAAAGAGAAACAGGCACGGAGGGUCGCGGAGCACGUGAAAGGCGAUUUAAAGGGAAAAAGAAGGAGGUGGCCUUUAAAAAAAACAACGAAGGAACAUGGCGAACCGGUCGCAGCCUCCAUUCGUCAGCUGGGAGCUCAGCUGCAGCCGGGCGCGGUGACCUCGACGGAGCUUCACGGAAAACCGAGUCAAUUUGCAAGCAAUAACGGUGUCAUACCGCGCGUACUUUUCAUCCGUGAUUUAACGACCUUUUGUAUCUUUCACACACACGAAAAUACUAUUACACAUUCGUGUUUCUCCACUUUCUUCUUUCUCUCAAUUUUUUUCUUUUUUUUUUCUUUUGUUUUUGUUUUUUUUUUUGUUAUUAAAUUUGUUACUUUUGAACAGUACGUAUACACACAUAUCGAUAGAUCGGCGAGUUGCUUUCGAUCGAGUGACCCGCCGACAUUCCGCGGAAACACGGUCAUCGGUCACUUUACAGGUGAUCGACAGUACCCCCGACCGACUGACAGUUCAACGACAUUCGUCUUUACCACUGUAUGGAAAAACGCGUUUCCCUUUACAUACUUUGUGUAAACGCUCUUAUCGAUAUCGAUCACGCCUUAAAUCCAAGAGAUCUCGACUUCAACGAAUCGCGAAAUCAUUCGAAAUCAUCCACGUUACUUAAUUAAUCGGAUAUUCGAUUCGACUAUGUUUAACAAAGCUUUUAUCCAUCACUCUCGAUUUUGAUCUACACUUAAGAGAAAUAUAUAGAAACAUGUAUGAUUUUAUCCUUAACUAAACAUGUCCAUGAUAUAAACAGUUAAGAAUUUUCAGUUCACUCACAAUUUGUAUAACGAACGUAAGAUCCACUAACGUGUCUGUUUACUAAGCGCCGUAAGUCGUUCAUCACGUUCGAUCUUAAUAUACACUUGAACAAAAAAUGUACAGAAACAUAAUAUAUAAUUCCAUUUAUAAUGUAUAACAUCGAACUGACAAGAUACUCGUCACGAACGUAUAUCAGAUAUACCGAUUUAACCGAUUUGACAACUGAUUUCCAAUUCACUCACAAUCUAUAUAUUAAAGUUCAAAUCGAUGAAACAAUCGGAAGAAAUAAAAGGCUCUCGCGGACUGUUACAAUUAAAGGUGAAAGAGGUUACAAGAUAGGGAUCGGAGCACCUCUCGGUAUCGUAAGAAAACUUCACGUAUUUACACGAAACGAGACUCCCGAAGAGCUAUCGCGAUGGCUACACAUAAUUUGAACGUGAAACGAAGGCGAAGGAAAGGAAUUACAGUUUUUAAAAGAAAGACGGUGAACCGGUCGGUGCGUCCGUUCAUCAGCUGAGAGCCCAGCUGAACCCAGCGGCCGCUGUAACCUCAACCUUUCUAAUAGGCUGUAUCGCAUGAAAAACGAUUAACCCUCAAUGUCCGCGAGUCCUCUAAAUACAGAUUAAGCUAAAAUACCUGUCAUUCGAGUUUCAUCUACGGGCGAACGACGGAAUGCACGAAAACACUGGAUUUUCAGAGAUAAAACUUUUUGAAAGCCCACUCACAAUGGAAUCUUCCAGUAGACUAGCCGAGCCGGCAAGCCGUUCUCUUUUGCGUGCUCACCCACCGUUUCACGCACUGUCUCACGUUUUACACCGUUAAUCCUUCUUUCGUAAACCGUUUCGACUUUUAAAACAGCGGAAGGCUCGAUGAUAAGGUUUAGCCCUCGUUUCGAUCAGUUAUAAAGUGCUUAUUUGCAGCAGAAACGCGGCGGUAUGCAUACCGCUGACAGUUCGAGCUGUCACUUUUUGACGACCGCGUACGUGCCGCCAUCUGAUGACGCUGCCAUUAGACAUUGAUGCGUUUGAAAGAACCGCGCUCAGAUCACCUAGCAACAAGAUCAAUAGACUAAGUUACAGCAAGUCGAGCAAUAACCAAUGUAUCUAUUAAUGAUCUAAUUAAUUAUUUAACUAAGGGUAGAUUAGUGACCGUAGAACUUCGUUUACUUUUUGUAUUGCUGUUUUAAUCGAGUACUUCCCACGGUGUUGAAUAACGAUCAAUUAAAAUAUUUCAUUCGAUUGAUUGAUUAAUUUUUAAUCUUCGAGAGUCGCAAUUGAUAAUUAUGUACUUAUCCUGAUCGGUAAUUCCAACUGUACUUCGAAUGAAGUAAACUUUAAUCAUUAAUUGUGACUGAUAAUCAGCCACUUAUAAUUGUAGUCAUCAAUAAUUGUAAUCGUUGAUCAUUAACUGCUACAAUAUAGCACAGCACUGACUUCCAGUACUGUUCUAAAACUUAUACCUGACGUUCAAGGAUUCAAAGGUACAAAGUUCCAUAUCUUUUUAAAACUGAAGAAUUAUAAUGAGGUAGAGUAACUGUACAAUUGCUCGAUUUUCAUUUAUGGAUUUAUUAUAACAAUCUCGUUCCGCUAGUACAAAAAACCGGACGUUCCCGCAAUCAUUUACAAGAUAUAACAUUUUAUACAAACAUUUGUGUUCUAGAAUGUUUACGCGAUUUUUUUCUUAUUUUGUACUUAACUCUCCUAUCACUUUGUUCCAAUACCUUUGUUCAGUGGUUCAUAUCACAAUUGUCUCAUAUUCUUGAGAUGGGAGUACAAACUGCUCACAAUACUCAAGAAAUAUUCGCAAUAUCAAUCGUGAGUGUACCAUUUUCUUCACGGUACACAAUUACACCUCACACAUACCACGUAUUUUCAUUUUUUAAA